AGCUUAUGAUAUAUGACUGAUCAUAUCCUUACCACCAGAUUUGAUAGACAUUCAACAUGCAAAAUGAAGGCUUAUAAAAGCGAUGUUUCACAGAGCACACAAUACAGUAUACGUGAUUGCAUGCGUAAUAAGUUUAUACUUCAAUUCUUAAUUAUUUUUUUUACUUCUUAGAAUGUAAUGAGGUAUAAUAACAAUUAAAAUCAUGAAUGAAAUUAAUCAUCAAUUCUUUUAAUGCAGAUCACCUGCAUACAUGCCAACUUUCCCGAUUUAGGCGGGAUCUUCCCGAUUUUACCCUCCGGUCCCGCUUUCCCGAUCGGGAAAGCAAAAUUACCCUAAAAUCCCGAUUUGAAAUUUUUUCCAACCAAAAUUUCCGAUUUCACGAUUGAAAGCGGGAUAAUCGUGAAAUCUCGUGACCAGAAUUGGAAAUCCCGCGUCAUUUCUGAACUGGCCAAUCAGAAAUCGGGACAAUAGUCAGCCAUUGCUGUUUACCUGUGUCGCAUGGUGUCGGGUUGGUCUGCCUGUGUCGGGGUGUUUAUUGGCAUGUUUUGGUAGUAAUUAAUUGGGAAGACGGAUUUCAAAUUGACCUAUCCUUUACACAAACGUGAAUGACAACGAUGCUAGUGUCACCACCAAACAAUCGGACAUUCCGCCUCUCGCUGACAGCAUCCAAAAUUUGCAAUAAGAUGUCAUGGGUGCAAAGGUUUUGUUCGCAAACUUCAUAGCAGGGCAGAUCACUCCUUUUUUGGUUACAAUGCAGAUUAUUCCACCAGUCUCUGCAAGCCCAUGUUUACAGACAAGCAAGAUCGCCUUUGCAGUCGUACCUAAAUGCAUGUGCUUUAAUUUAAAUUUUGAUAUAUAGACCGGCCAAUGUUUAUUGUAUGGUGUAAAAGGAUGCAACCUUAAAUAUUAUUUUAUAUUAUGUAUGUGACUUGUUGGAGAAGAUUUUUUGCUGAAUAGAUGAUUUUAAUAAAAUAUUAAUGUAUAUC
Molecule: long non-coding RNA, 986 nt
Organism: Ostrea edulis (European flat oyster)
Lineage: Eukaryota; Metazoa; Mollusca; Bivalvia; Ostreida; Ostreidae
Exons: 2
Source: RefSeq, a predicted model, not a curated record